RNAcentral lists this ribosomal RNA (492 nucleotides) under uncultured bacterium. RNAcentral describes it as "partial 16S ribosomal RNA". It matches the Rfam family "Bacterial small subunit ribosomal RNA", at positions 29 to 507 of the family's 1533-position model. The record is from RNAcentral.
AGUGAACGCUGGCGGUAGGCCUAACACAUGCAAGUCGAACGGCAGCACAGUAAGAGCUUGCUCUUACGGGUGGCGAGUGGCGGACGGGUGAGGAAUACAGCGGAAUCUACUUUUUCGUGGGGGAUAACGUAGGGAAACUUACGCUAAUACCGCAUACGACCUACGGGUGAAAGCAGGGGAUCUUCGGACCUUGCGCGAUUGAAUGAGCCGAUGUCGGAUUAGCUAGUUGGCGGGGUAAAGGCCCACCAAGGCGACGAUCCGUAGCUGGUGUGAGAGGGGGAUCCGCCACACUGGGACUGAGACACGGUCCAGACUCCGACGGGAGGCAGCAGUGGCGAAUAUUGGACAAUGGGCGCAAGCCUGAUCCAGCCAUACCGCGUGGGUGAAGAAGGCCUUCGGGUUGUAAAGCCCUUUUGUUGGGAAAGACAAGCAGCAGGUUAAUACCCCGCUGUUCUGACGGUACCAAAAGAAUAAGCACCGGCUAACUUCGUG